CUGGAUUUACACUCUAAUCAUUUACAUUGAGAGUGGAAAAAAGCCAUAGACAGACCGGUUACGCUACUCACCUAAUUGAGGCUAAGAAAGAACCCGACAAAAUGACUAAAAUGGUGAUCACUUACAUUGGCUUCCUUCUCCUUGCCAUGCAGUUAUCACAAGUCUUUUCACAAAACAUUAGGCGUAGGCCUACAACAAGGUCCCCGGCGACGACUGUGAACACUACCAAAGUUGACGGCGGCGCGCGUUCCAAUAUGACCAAGGUACCCGAUGUUGUCACUACCACCAACAUCACCAUCCCCAAAGGAGCCUGCACGUCCUUGCAGUCCAGUGCGUUCACACUGCUCAUUCUCAUGGUAGCGGGCUUGCUCCUACAGGGCUGCUUAUAGAGGGUUCAUCUGCACUAAACGCACUGCKACGAAUAACAUCGGCGGCACACUUUUGUACGUUCUCGAAAGGCAGUGUACCUAAACAGAGUGAACACMUGGACGAGAACACCUUUCUACUGAUGGGAAUUAUUUGGAUCACACCUCCRGCGCCAUUUCAACCCAGUAUAGGCAGGCUUACUGGCCCUAUGGUGUGGUCCCCUCAAUGGCGGCAGGCCAUGAUGAGGAUGUACUAAACUCUGCUCUUUGACUCUGUUGGUUCCUGUGUCCAGACAGCAGGCUGUCGUUUUGUAACUUCUGAAGRUAAAUGUUGGCUGUGCCUGGGAAAUCAACUGCAUAUAAUGAAAUGUUGGUUGAGAUGCAYUCUGUAAUUAAUGUAACCUAUAUUUGUCUUAUCUCUGGCACUUGAGUCCUAGCUCCAACCUGGGCUUGAACUAGUGACCCUCUGAACACAACUGCCUCCCACUGUUAACAAGCUAGUCACUUCACACCUGUUACACUUGCUAUUUAUACUCCUGAUACUGCAAUGUAUACUUUGUCAAAGGCUUGAUGUACUCUUGUGAUUUGUAGAAUAGCUACAUUUUAUAGGUUAAGUUCUCAGCUUUUGAUUUUAACUUAAGCGGUGAUGUAACAUGCUUAGAUUUAUUUUGUAUUGCCAGAUUUAAUAAAGCUAUGACAUGUACAAUUAAUAUUCAA
Molecule: non-coding RNA, 1082 nt
Organism: Salvelinus sp. IW2-2015
Lineage: Eukaryota; Metazoa; Chordata; Actinopteri; Salmoniformes; Salmonidae
Source: RefSeq, a predicted model, not a curated record